RNAcentral lists this ribosomal RNA (424 nucleotides) under uncultured bacterium. Its description in RNAcentral is "bacterial SSU rRNA". It matches the Rfam family "Bacterial small subunit ribosomal RNA", at positions 355 to 796 of the family's 1533-position model. The record is from RNAcentral.
UGGGGAAUAUUGCACAAUGGGGGCAACCCUGAUGCAGCGACGCCGCGUGCGGGAUGAAGGCCUUCGGGUUGUAAACCGCUUUCAGCAGGGGCGAAUUUGACGGUACCUGCAGAAGAAGCGCCGGCUAACUACGUGCCAGCAGCCGCGGUAAUACGUAGGGCGCGAGCGUUGUCCGGAAUUAUUGGGCGUAAAGAGCUCGUAGGCGGCCUGUUGCGUCCGCUGUGAAAUCCCAGGGCUCAACCCUGGGCGUGCAGUGGAUACGGGCAGGCUGGAGGCAGGCAGGGGAGAACGGAAUUCCCGGUGUAGCGGUGAAAUGCGCAGAUAUCGGGAGGAACACCGGUGGCGAAGGCGGUUCUCUGGGCCUGUUCUGACGCUGAGGAGCGAAAGCGUGGGGAGCGAACAGGAUUAGAUACCCCUGUAGUCC